UACGGAGGGUGCAAGCGUUAAUCGGAAUUACUGGGCGUAAAGGGUGCGUAGGUGGUUUAAUAAGUUAUCUGUGAAAUCCCCGGGCUCAACCUGGGCAGGUCAGAUAAGACUGUUAGACUGGAGUAUGGCAGAGGGUAGUGGAAUUUCCGGUGUAGCGGUGAAAUGCGUAGAGAUCGGAAGGAACACCAGUGGCGAAGGCGGCUACCUGGGCUGAUACUGACACUGAGGCACGAAAGCGUGGGGAGCAAACAGG
This 253-nucleotide ribosomal RNA is filed under the name uncultured bacterium. RNAcentral describes it as "partial 16S ribosomal RNA". It matches the Rfam family "Bacterial small subunit ribosomal RNA", at positions 524 to 776 of the family's 1533-position model. The record is from RNAcentral.